UACGGGGGGCCUACGGGAGGCAGCAGUGGGGAAUAUUGGACAAUGGGCGAAAGCCUGAUCCAGCCAUGCCGCGUGUGUGAAGAAGGUCUUCGGAUUGUAAAGCACUUUAAGUUGGGAGGAAGGGCAGUUACAUAAUACGUAAUUGUGUGACGUACCGACAGAAUAAGCACCGGCUAACUCUGUGCCAGCAGCCGCGGUAAUACAGAGGG
This 209-nucleotide ribosomal RNA is filed under the name uncultured bacterium. RNAcentral's name for it is "partial 16S ribosomal RNA". It matches the Rfam family "Bacterial small subunit ribosomal RNA", at positions 329 to 532 of the family's 1533-position model. The record is from RNAcentral.